CAGGCCUAACACAUGCAAGUCGAGCGCCCCGGAAGGCAGGCGGCGGACGGGUGAGUAACGCGUCGGAACGAUACCCUUUGGUUCGGGAUAGCCCUGGGAAACCGGGAGUAAUACCGGAUGUGGUCUUCGGACGAAAGAUUUAUCGCCAAAGGAUCGGCCCGCGUUGGAUUAGGUAGUUGGUGGGGUAACGGCCUACCAAGCCGACGAUCCAUAGCUGGUUUGAGAGGAUGAUCAGCCACACUGGGACUGAGACACGGUCCAGACUCCUACGGGAGGCAGCAGUGAGGAAUCUUGGACAAUGGGGGAAACCCUGAUCCAGCCAUGCCGCGUGAGUAUGAAGGCCUUCGGGUUGUAAAGCUCUUUCAGAUGUGAAGAUAAUGACGGUAGCAUCAGAAGAAGCUCCGGCUAACUCCGUGCCAGCAGCCGCGGUAAU
RNAcentral lists this ribosomal RNA (433 nucleotides) under uncultured Alphaproteobacteria bacterium. RNAcentral's name for it is "bacterial SSU rRNA". It matches the Rfam family "Bacterial small subunit ribosomal RNA", at positions 43 to 524 of the family's 1533-position model. The record is from RNAcentral. Lineage: Bacteria; Pseudomonadati; Pseudomonadota; Alphaproteobacteria.